CUGAGAAUAUUCCGCAAUGGGGGAAACCCUGACGGAGCAAUCUCGCAUGGAUGAUGAAGGCUUUCGGGUUGUAAAAUCCUUUCGGCAGAGAAGAAUAAGCCCUUGAGGAAAUGCUUGGGCGAUGACGGUAUCUGCAGAAGAAGUCCCGGCUAACUACGUGCCAGCAGCCGCGGUAAUACGUAGGGGGCGAACGUUGUUCGGAAUCACUGGGCGUAAAGGGUGCGUAGGCGGGUAGAUAAGUUGAUUGUGAAAGCCCACUGCUCAACAGUGGAAUGGCAGUCAAAACUAUCUACCUAGAGUUGUCGAUAGAGGUAACGGGAAUUCCUGGUGUAGGGGUGAAAUCUGUAGAUAUCAGGAGGAACACCAAGGGUGAAGACAAGUUACUGGGUAACGACUGACGCUGAGGCACGAAAGCUAGGGGAGCAAAUGGGAUUAGAUACCCCCGUAGUCC
Molecule: ribosomal RNA, 451 nt
Filed under: uncultured prokaryote
Description: bacterial SSU rRNA
Rfam family: Bacterial small subunit ribosomal RNA
Source: RNAcentral